Molecule: ribosomal RNA, 497 nt
Filed under: uncultured bacterium
Lineage: Bacteria
Description: partial 16S ribosomal RNA
Rfam family: Bacterial small subunit ribosomal RNA
Source: RNAcentral
GAUGAACGCUGGCGGCGUGCCUAAUACAUGCAAGUCGAGCGAACAGACGAGGAGCUUGCUCCUCUGACGUUAGCGGCGGACGGGUGAGUAACACGUGGAUAACCUACCUAUAAGACUGGGAUAACUUCGGGAAACCGGAGCUAAUACCGGAUAAUAUAUUGAACCGCAUGGUUCAAUAGUGAAAGACGGUUUUGCUGUCACUUAUAGAUGGAUCCGCGCCGCAUUAGCUAGUUGGUAAGGUAACGGCUUACCAAGGCAACGAUGCGUAGCCGACCUGAGAGGGUGAUCGGCCACACUGGAACUGAGACACGGUCCAGACUCCUACGGGAGGCAGCAGUAGGGAAUCUUCCGCAAUGGGCGAAAGCCUGACGGAGCAACGCCGCGUGAGUGAUGAAGGUCUUCGGAUCGUAAAACUCUGUUAUUAGUGAAGAACAAAUGUGUAAGUAACUAUGCACGUCUUGACGGUACCGAAUCAGAAAGCCACGGCUAACUACGUG